This 1074-nucleotide long non-coding RNA is filed under the name Callithrix jacchus (white-tufted-ear marmoset). RNAcentral's name for it is "lncRNA (ENSCJAG00000086325.1)". Lineage: Eukaryota; Metazoa; Chordata; Mammalia; Primates; Cebidae. The record is from RNAcentral.
AUGAUAGUUCUGGGAGAAACAGCGUUUAGGAUCCACAGCAGCUCUAGAGAACAGGCAGAGAAGAAAGAGGUCCCUGGAGAACCUCUGACUGGCCUGCCCACUAGGAGCACAGGUGGAGCCUGGAGAGGUUUGCACCGUUUGCAGAGGGGGAGGAGCCUGGCCUCUCCCGUUCUCUGGUGGUUACCGGGAAUUCAGUCUGUGAGAUGGGGGCCUGUUCAUCUCUCUCGCUUUGCUGAGUUUUUUUUUUUGUUUUGUCCAAUACAUUCGCCUUUUCUCACCCUUCAAAGUGUCUGUGAGCCUAAUCUUUCUUGGUUGUGUGACAAGGACCCUGUUUUUCGCUAAACUAAGGAGGGAGUCCUACAACAGAACAUCCCUGUGACUAACAGUGCCUGUGACCAACUGGCAAAAGACAGUUGGGGACAGGUUUAGGUCGGCUUUGUGGGAGUCCAAUCUUACCUAGUCAUUACAGAGACCAAGAUAUACACCACUUUCUCUCUCCCUUAGACAGGUAUCUCCGAGAAAAUCCACACAUAAACACCACCCAGAGCAGUUUCUUUUUCGUGUGUUUUAAGUAAAUCAUUCUGCUUUAUAAAUGGAGAAAAAACCCACUGCUUUAGGAUAUGACCAUAGAGUCACUGAUCACAGAAUUCUGAACUUUUUAGAUGACAAAGAAAAUUUAGCCGGGCGCGGUGGCUCAUGCCUGUAAUCCCAGCCCUUUGGGAGACCGAGGCAAGUGGAUCACUGGAGGUCAGGAAUUUGAGACCAGCCUGACCAACAUGGAGAAACCCCGUCUCUACUAAAAAUACAAAAUUAGCUGGGCAUGGUGGUACAUGCCUGUAAUCCCAGGUUCUCGGGAGGCUGAGGCAGGAGGAUUGCUUGAACCCGGGAGUUAGAGGUUUUGGUGUGCCGAGAUUGCGCCAUUGCACUCCAGCCUGGGCAACUAGAGUGAAACAUCACCCAAAAAAAAAAAAAAGAAAUAAAAUUUAGGGGCCAUUUGACCUAGCUCCCUGGAUUGAUCGUAUCUAUUCUCCCAAACAUAACGUAGCAUCAUAACAACGUUCAGGCCGCUUCUGC